AUACGGAGGAUGCGAGCGUUAUCCGGAUUUAUUGGGUUUAAAGGGAGCGUAGGUGGGAUAUUAAGUCAGCUGUGAAAGUUUGGGGCUCAACCUUAAAAUUGCAGUUGAUACUGGUUUCCUUGAGUACGGUACAGGUGGGCGGAAUUCGUGGUGUAGCGGUGAAAUGCUUAGAUAUCACGAAGAACUCCGAUCGCGAAGGCAGCUCACCGGGCCGGAACUGACACUGAUGCUCGAAAGUGCGGGUAUCAAACAGGAUUAGAUACCCUGGUGGUCCGCACAGUAAACGAUGAAUACUCGCUGUUUGCGAUACACUGUAAGCGGCCAAGCGAAAGCGUUAAGUAUUCCACCUGGGGAGUACGCCGGCAACGGUGAAACUCAAAGGAAUUGACGGG
This 392-nucleotide ribosomal RNA is filed under the name uncultured bacterium. RNAcentral describes it as "partial 16S ribosomal RNA". It matches the Rfam family "Bacterial small subunit ribosomal RNA", at positions 523 to 917 of the family's 1533-position model. The record is from RNAcentral.